UACGGAAGGGGCGAGCGCUGUUCGGAAUCAUUGGGCGUAAAGGACGCGUAGGUGGUUCUGUAUGUCUACCGUGAAAGCGUACGGCUCAACCGUAUUUUGUCGGUAGAAACUGCAGGACUUGAGGCUGGGAGGGGCUGGUGGAAUUCCCUGUGUAGCGGUGAAAUGCGUAGAGAUCGGGAGGAACACCAGAGGCGAAGGCGGCGACCUGGACAAGUACUGACACUCAACUACGAAAGCGUGGGGAGCAAACAGG
This 253-nucleotide ribosomal RNA is filed under the name uncultured prokaryote. RNAcentral's name for it is "partial 16S ribosomal RNA". It matches the Rfam family "Bacterial small subunit ribosomal RNA", at positions 524 to 776 of the family's 1533-position model. The record is from RNAcentral.